UGAGUACGAGAUGCUACGGCAUCGAAGCAGUCUAUGUCAUACUUCCAAGAAAAGCUUGCAAUGUCAUAAACAAAUAAUGCCUGUACCAUAACCGACACAGGUGGGUAGGUAGAGUAUACUAAGGGGCGCGAGAUAACUCUCUCUAAGGAACUCGGCAAAAUGACUCCGUAACUUCGGGAGAAGGAGUGCCUUAUUUUUAUAAGGUUGCAAUAACAAGAUCCAAGCAACUGUUUACCAAAAACACAGGUCUCCGCUAAGUCGUAAGACGAUGUAUGGGGGCUGACGCCUGCCCAGUGCCAGAAGGUUAAAGAAGUUGGUUAGCAUUAGCGAAGCUGAUAACUGAAGCCCUGGUGAACGGCGGCCGUAACUAUAACGGUCCUAAGGUAGCGAAAUUCCUUGUCGGGUAAGUUCCGACCCGCACGAAAGGCGUAAUGAUUUGGAUACUGUCUCGGAGAGGGGCUCGGUGAAAUAGACUUGUCUGUGAAGAUGCGGACUACCUGCACCUGGACAGAAAGACCCUAUGAAGCUUUACUGUAACUUGAGAUUGAAAUUGGACUUUAUCUGCGCAGUAUAGGUGGGAGACGUUGAAAAUAUUCUUGCGGGAAUAUUGGAGUCAUCAGUGAGAUACCACUCUUAUAAUGUUAGAUUUCUAACUUUGUAUCAUUAUCUGGUCAAAGAACAGUUUCAGGCGGGCAGUUUGACUGGGGCGGUCGCCUCCCAAACGGUAACGGAGGCGCACAAAGGUUUCCUCUGAACGUGUAGAAAUCGUAUCUAGAGUGUAAAGGCAUAAGGAAGCUUGACUGUGAGACCUACAAGUCGAGCAGGGACGAAAGUCGGUCUUAGUGAUCUGACGGUGCUGAGUGGAAAGGCCGUCACUCAACGGAUAAAAGUUACUCUAGGGAUAACAGGCUGAUCUCCCCCAAGAGUUCACAUCGACGGGGAGGUUUGGCACCUCGAUGUCGGCUCAUCGCAUCCUGGGGCGGUAGUACGUCCCAAGGGUUGGGCUGUUCGCCCAUGAAAGCGGUACGCGAGCUGGGUUCAGAACGCCGUGAGACAGUUCGGUCCAUAUCCGGUGUAGGCGUUAGAAUAUUGAGAGGAGCCUUCUUUAGUACGAGAGGACCGAGAAGGACAUACCUCUGGUGUACCAGUUAUCGUGCCAACGGUAAACGCUGGGUAGCCAUGUAUGGAGAGGAUAACCGCUGAAAGCAUCUAAGUGGGAAGCCCACCUCAAGAUAAGUAUUCUCAC
This 1246-nucleotide ribosomal RNA is filed under the name metagenome. RNAcentral describes it as "bacterial LSU rRNA". It matches the Rfam family "Bacterial large subunit ribosomal RNA", at positions 1564 to 2817 of the family's 2925-position model. The record is from RNAcentral.